Molecule: long non-coding RNA, 435 nt
Filed under: Medicago truncatula (barrel medic)
Lineage: Eukaryota; Viridiplantae; Streptophyta; Magnoliopsida; Fabales; Fabaceae
Description: long non-coding RNA (MTRU_LNC002550)
Source: RNAcentral
CCUUGUAUAAGUAUUAUUAUGUCAUCUCAUGUGUCACCUGUUUGAAUAACCUGAUUUGGUGGGGCUCUUUUUGUCAGGUUGUUAUCAAUCAUGGUUCACUCCAAUGCCUUUUGAGCCUGUUGACCCAUGAUCACAACAAAAGUAUUAAGCAAGAAGCUUGCAGGACUGUAUCAAACAUUACAGCUGGUAACAGAGAGCAGAUACAGGUAAACAAAUAAUUCCCAUCUUUUUUAUACUCAAAUGACGUUAAAUAUCAAUGUUAAUGAAGUGCAGUGAACUUUACCUUUUAUUUAUGUACGAUGCAGGCUGUUAUUGAAGCUGGUCUCAUUGCUCCCCUGGUCGAUCUUCUUCAAUUUCAGCAGAAUGUGAUCAUUGUAUCUUGUACAAAAAAUAUAUUUUGCUGGGGAGAAGGUAUGUUGCAGAAGCAAGGAACCG